GCGGCGUGCCUAAUACAUGCAAGUCGAACGCACUGACGUCGACAGAAGGUGCUUGCACUGGAAGUUGAUUGACGUGAGUGGCGGACGGGUGAGUAACACGUGGGUAACCUGCCCUUAAGCGGGGGAUAACAUUUGGAAACAGAUGCUAAUACCGCAUAAAAGUUGAGAUCACAUGGUCUUAAUUUGAAAGACGGCCUUUGGCUAUCACUUAAGGAUGGACCCGCGGCGUAUUAGCUAGUUGGUGAGAUAAUAGCCCACCAAGGCGAUGAUACGUAGCCGACCUGAGAGGGUAAUCGGCCACAUUGGGACUGAGACACGGCCCAAACUCCUACGGGAGGCAGCAGUAGGGAAUCUUCCACAAUGGACGAAAGUCUGAUGGAGCAACGCCGCGUGAGUGAAGAAGGUUUUCGGAUCGUAAAACUCUGUUGUUGGAGAAGAACAGGGACUAGAGUAACUGUUAGUCCUUUGACGGUAUCCAACCAGAAAGCCACGGCUAACUACGUGCCAGCAGCCGCGGUAAUACGUAGGUGGCAAGCGUUGUCCGGAUUUAUUGGGCGUAAAGCGAGCGCAGGCGGUUUCUUAAGUCUGAUGUGAAAGCCUUCGGCUUAACCGAAGAAGUGCAUCAGAUACUGGGAAACUUGAGUGCAGAAGAGGAAAGUGGAACUCCAUGUGUAGCGGUGAAAUGCGUAGAUAUAUGGAAGAACACCAGUGGCGAAGGCGGCUUUCUGGUCUGUAACUGACGCUGAGGCUCGAAAGUAUGGGGAGCGAACAGGAUUAGAUACCCUGGUAGUCCAUACCGUAAACGAUGAAUGCUAAGUGUUGGAGGGUUUCCGCCCUUCAGUGCUGCAGCUAACGCAUUAAGCAUUCCGCCUGGGGAGUACGACCGCAAGGUUGAAACUCAAAGGAAUUGACGGGGGCCCGCACAAGCGGUGGAGCAUGUGGUUUAAUUCGAAGCUACGCGAAGAACCUUACCAGGUCUUGACAUCUAGCGCCAAUCCUAGAGAUAGGACGUUCCCUUCGGGGACGCUAAGACAGGUGGUGCAUGGUUGUCGUCAGCUCGUGUCGUGAGAUGUUGGGUUAAGUCCCGCAACGAGCGCAACCCUUAUGAUUAGUUGCCAGCAUUUAGUUGGGCACUCUAAUCAGACUGCCGGUGACAAACCGGAGGAAGGUGGGG
This 1174-nucleotide ribosomal RNA is filed under the name uncultured bacterium. RNAcentral's name for it is "bacterial SSU rRNA". It matches the Rfam family "Bacterial small subunit ribosomal RNA", at positions 39 to 1178 of the family's 1533-position model. The record is from RNAcentral.